This is a long non-coding RNA of Equus asinus (donkey), 2457 nucleotides long. Lineage: Eukaryota; Metazoa; Chordata; Mammalia; Perissodactyla; Equidae. The record is from Ensembl.
UUCCAACCCACUAACUACAGAGUUGGUUCCCCUGGCAACCAGCCUCCAACUUUAGGUGACCUGGGGCCUUUCUAAAUCACCUUAUUAACAUAACAGAGACAUCUUAAUGGCUCUCCUCUCUUAGGCAAUUCCAAGGGUUUUAGGAGAUCUGUGCUAGGGAUGAGGACGAAGACAAAAAUAUAUAUUUCUCAUUAUAAAUUACAACAUCACACCUUCCAAGAAGACUAACACAAGAAUUCAUCUAGGGGCCGGCCCGGUGGCGCAGUGGUUAAGUGCGCACGUUCCGCUUCUCGGCGGCCCGGGGUUCACCACUUCGGAUCCCAGGUGCGGUCAUGGCACCCUUUGGCACGCCAUGCUGUGGUAGGCGUCCCACACAUAAAAUGGAGGGAGAUGGGCUCAGGGCCAGGCUUCCUCAGCAAAAAAAAGAGGAAGGACUGGCAGUAGUUAGCUCAGGGCUAAUCUUUCUCAAAAAAAGAAAAAAGAAAAAAAGAAUUCAUCUAAAACACUGAGAAGUUAGCCAUUAUUUGGUUUGGCUUCUCACUCAAUGUGAUGGACCUUCUUUGGUAUCCAAGACAUCUGAUGACUGAAUCUUGCUUAGAUUCAGGCCAACUCUGUCUCCUGAAUUAUUCACCAACUAGUUCUUGUUCUCUGAAAGAGUAGUUUGUGCCAUUAAAUAAAACCCAGGUUUUAAUCCUAGCUCCUCAUCUUUGACCUUAGCAAGUCACUUAUCACUCUGACUCUUAGUUUCUUCAUCUGCAAAACGUGAAGUCCUGCUUAUGUCAUGGGGAUGUUGGAAAGGGGAAAAAGAGGGUGACCAUUUAUUAAAUAUCUACCACGUUCCAGGUGCUGUGAUGAGAACUUUAUACACACUGAAUUAUUAAUACUCCCAAUCUUGUCACCCAUACAUAUCCCUGGUGCACCGACGUGUACUCUAACAGGAAGACUCAGCUUUGGCCAACACCUGACAGCUUCCUUUUGAGAUGUUUUUCUGCUGAGCUGGGCUUCCUUCUCAGAGAAAUCGCAACUGCAAACCAGCUCCCACCCGACCCGGGAGCAGGGCCUGCACAGAGGGACUCGGAGGGGACCUGAAGCUGCCUCUGCUGCUGUUUUUUUUUUUUUUUUUGAGGAAGAUUAGCACUGAGCUAACACCUGCUGCCUAAUCCUCCUCUUUUUGCUGAGGAAGACUGGCCCUGAGCUCACAUCCGUGCCCAUACUCCUCUACUUUAUAUGUGGGACGCCUGCCACAGCGUGGCUUGCCAAGUGGUGCCAUGUCCACACCCGGGAUCCGAACCGGCGAACCCUGGGCCGCCGGAGGGGAAUGUGUGAACUUAACUGCUGCAUCAUCGGGCAUGCCCCUGCCUCUGCUUCUUUUCCACACAGAAAUACGGCCCCUGCGUACCUUGCUAGGGACAUUUGGUGCCGUGUGCAAAGAAGUUGGGAGGACUGGGCCCACGCCAGCUGUUCCUGGAAGUCUCCUCCCCUUUCCGGGGACCCUGAUGACGCUUUUACUGAAACUGAAGCAGGCUCCCUCCUGGCGAGUUAUAUCAGACUCUCCACCAGCAGUAGUCGUCUCACAGAGAAGAUUAGCCCUGAGCUAACAUCUGCUGCCAAUCCUCCUCUUUUUGCUGAGGAAGACAGGCCCUGAGGUAACAUCCAUGCCCAUCUUCCUCCACUUUAUACGUGGGACGCCUACCACAGCAUGGUGUGUCAAGCGGUGCCACAUCCACACCCGGGAUCCAAACCAGCGAACCCCAGGCUGCAUUUAGGAGACUACAAAUUUGCCUAAGGACUCAGUGAAAGACUUGAGAGUAUUUUGCUUUAAAGUCACACAUUUCAUUACGAAUUUCUUUUAUUUUGUAUCCAAUAGAAAAGAAAGUUUGGAUCUAUUUACAAGUGCUGUAAUAUUUACAUAUAUUAUACACAGUUAAUGAAUGUAAAGAAAAUGGGCAGAGAAACACAGUAUAUAUGGAAGAAUAUGCCACUGUACAUGGCUUUUUAUCAUGGUCCUUAGUGUCACUGAAUCUUUACCGUAGUAAUAAAUACAGCUCUAUAUUUACACAUCUUAUAAAACAUCUCAUAAAUGUAUUGUUUUCAAUUCCAACUUAAAACAUCUGAUCAAAAUAAACAUGCUUAUAUAAAAAUAAAUCUACCUAACAGUCUCUCUGUUUGGAUGCAUUAAAGCCACUGUAGUAUAUCAGAAGUUAGAAUUCAUCCUUCGACCUUCAGCAUUUAAUAAUUUCACUUCUUAAAAUGCCUCACACAUGUAUUAAAUACGAAAUGAGCAGAGAAGUCCUGUUCCUGACACCAAGUAGGUCGACACAGCUGACACCAGGCUAACUAAGCAGGGCCUCAUGGUACCAAGCCUCUGCUGAGUCCAAAGUGGCUUCAGACGUGGCUGCUGCUAGAGACACACGUGAGAAGCUGUCAGUGAUUUAAUUCAUGUGCACUUGAUCAUUG